This 497-nucleotide ribosomal RNA is filed under the name uncultured bacterium. RNAcentral's name for it is "partial 16S ribosomal RNA". It matches the Rfam family "Bacterial small subunit ribosomal RNA", at positions 28 to 507 of the family's 1533-position model. The record is from RNAcentral.
GAUGAACGCUGGCGGCGUGCCUAAUACAUGCAAGUCGAGCGAACGGACGAGAAGCUUGCUUCUCUGAUGUUAGCGGCGGACGGGUGAGUAACACGUGGAUAACCUACCUAUAAGACUGGGAUAACUUCGGGAAACCGGAGCUAAUUCCGGAUAAUAUUUUGAACCGCAUGGUUCAAAAGUGAAAGACGGUCUUGCUGUCACUUAUAGAUGGAUCCGCGCUGCAUUAGCUAGUUGGUAAGGUAACGGCUUACCAAGGCAACGAUGCAUAGCCGACCUGAGAGGGUGAUCGGCCACACUGGAACUGAGACACGGUCCAGACUCCUACGGGAGGCAGCAGUAGGGAAUCUUCCGCAAAGGGCGAAAGCCUGACGGAGCAACGCCGCGUGAGUGAUGAAGGUCUUCGGAUCGUAAAACUCUGUUAUUAGGGAAGAACAUAUGUGUAAGUAACUGUGCACAUCUUGACGGUACCUAAUCAGAAAGCCACGGCUAACUACGUG